GAGGAGCUUGCUCUUCUUGGAUGAGUUGCGAACGGGUGAGUAACGCGUAGGUAACCUGCCUUGUAGCGGGGGAUAACUAUUGGAAACGAUAGCUAAUACCGCAUAACAAUGGAUGACACAUGUCAUUUAUUUGAAAGGGGCAAUUGCUCCACUACAAGAUGGACCUGCGUUGUAUUAGCUAGUAGGUGAGGUAAUGGCUCACCUAGGCGACGAUACAUAGCCGACCUGAGAGGGUGAUCGGCCACACUGGGACUGAGACACGGCCCAGACUCCUACGGGAGGCAGCAGUAGGGAAUCUUCGGCAAUGGGGGCAACCCUGACCGAGCAACGCCGCGUGAGUGAAGAAGGUUUUCGGAUCGUAAAGCUCUGUUGUAAGUCAAGAACGGGUGUGAGAGUGGAAAGUUCACACUGUGACGGUAGCUUACCAGAAAGGGACGGCUAACUACGUGCCAGCAGCCGCGGUAAUACGUAGGUCCCGAGCGUUGUCCGGAUUUAUUGGGCGUAAAGCGAGCGCAGGCGGUUUGAUAAGUCUGAAGUUAAAGGCUGUGGCUCAACCAUAGUUCGCUUUGGAAACUGUCAAACUUGAGUGCAGAAGGGGAGAGUGGAAUUCCAUGUGUAGCGGUGAAAUGCGUAGAUAUAUGGAGGAACACCGGUGGCGAAAGCGGCUCUCUGGUCUGUAACUGACGCUGAGGCUCGAAAGCGUGGGGAGCGAACAGGAUUAGAUACCCUGGUAGUCCACGCCGUAAACGAUGAGUGCUAGGUGUUGGAUCCUUUCCGGGAUUCAGUGCCGCAGCUAACGCAUUAAGCACUCCGCCUGGGGAGUACGACCGCAAGGUUGAAACUCAAAGGAAUUGACGGGGGCCCGCACAAGCGGUGGAGCAUGUGGUUUAAUUCGAAGCAACGCGAAGAACCUUACCAGGUCUUGACAUCCCGAUGCUAUUUCUAGAGAUAGAAAGUUACUUCGGUACAUCGGUGACAGGUGGUGCAUGGUUGUCGUCAGCUCGUGUCGUGAGAUGUUGGGUUAAGUCCCGCAACGAGCGCAACCCCUAUUGUUAGUUGCCAUCAUUCAGUUGGGCACUCUAGCGAGACUGCCGGUAAUAAACCGGAGGAAGGUGGGGAUGACGUCAAAUCAUCAUGCCCCUUAUGACCUGGGCUACACACGUGCUACAAUGGUUGGUACAACGAGUUGCGAGUCGGUGACGGCGAGCUAAUCUCUUAAAGCCAAUCUCAGUUCGGAUUGUAGGCUGCAACUCGCCUACAUGAAGUCGGAAUCGCUAGUAAUCGCGGAUCAGCACGCCGCGGUGAAUACGUUCCCGGGCCUUGUACACACCGCCCGUCACACCACGAGAGUUUGUAACACCCGAAGUCGGUGAGGU
RNAcentral lists this ribosomal RNA (1376 nucleotides) under Streptococcus thermophilus. RNAcentral describes it as "bacterial SSU rRNA". It matches the Rfam family "Bacterial small subunit ribosomal RNA", at positions 73 to 1436 of the family's 1533-position model. The record is from RNAcentral. Lineage: Bacteria; Bacillati; Bacillota; Bacilli; Lactobacillales; Streptococcaceae.